AAAUAUUUUCAUGAAAAACAUUUUAUUAGAAAACAAUUUUCAAGGAAAACAAUUUCCAUAUACAAGUUAUUUUCCCUGAAACAAAUGGAACCUUAUAAUCUGAUAACUAGAUCAAAAACCAUGCACAAUUGAAAUUACAAAACACAGUUAUGAUUAAACUAUUUCUAGAUCAUCUUUCUAACUGUGGGUGGGCAAAACAAAAGUAAAUCAAGUCUGCUAAAACAGUGAAACCGCAAAUUGAACCUGCAUGAAUAUGUUUGGCCAAGUCUAAGUCAAGUAGUCAACCCUGAACUUCUAAUGGAAUGUCAAAGAACCAUGUACCUGCAGCCCUUUCAGCAAGGCAAU
This 345-nucleotide unclassified non-coding RNA is filed under the name Hevea brasiliensis (rubber tree). Lineage: Eukaryota; Viridiplantae; Streptophyta; Magnoliopsida; Malpighiales; Euphorbiaceae. The record is from RNAcentral.